UAGAAUUCCACGUGUAGCGGUGAAAUGCGUAGAGAUGUGGAGGAAUACCGGUGGCGAAGGCGGCCUUCUGGACAGAUACUGACGCUGAGAUGCGAAAGCGUGGGGAGCAAACAGGAUUAGAUACCCUGGUAGUCCACGCUGUAAACGAUGUCGAUUUGGAGUUUGUUGCCCUGAGUGAUGGGCUCCGAAGCUAACGCGAUAAAUCGACCGCCUGGGGAGUACGGCCGCAAGGUUAAAACUCAAAUGAAUUGACGGGGGCCCGCACAAGCGGUGGAGCAUGUGGUUUAAUUCGAUGCAACGCGAAGAACCUUACCUGGUCUUGACAUCCACAGAAUCUUGCAGAGAUGCGAGAGUGCCUUCGGGAACUGUGAGACAGGUGCUGCAUGGCUGUCGUCAGCUCGUGUUGUGAAAUGUUGGGUUAAGUCCCGCAACGAGCGCAACCCUUAUCCUUUGUUGCCAGCGAUUUGGUCGGGAACUCAAAGGAGACUGCCGUUGAUAAAGCGGAGGAAGGUGGGGACGACGUCAAGUCAUCAUGGCCCUUACGACCAGGGCUACACACGUGCUACAAUGGCGUAUACAAAGGGAGGCGACCUCGCGAGAGCAAGCGGACCUCAUAAAGUACGUCUAAGUCCGGAUUGGAGUCUGCAACUCGACUCCAUGAAGUCGGAAUCGCUAGUAAUCGUGAAUCAGAAUGU
RNAcentral lists this ribosomal RNA (695 nucleotides) under uncultured Gilliamella sp. RNAcentral's name for it is "bacterial SSU rRNA". It matches the Rfam family "Bacterial small subunit ribosomal RNA", at positions 662 to 1357 of the family's 1533-position model. The record is from RNAcentral. Lineage: Bacteria; Pseudomonadati; Pseudomonadota; Gammaproteobacteria; Orbales; Orbaceae.